AUUGAACGCUGGCGGAAUGCUUUACACAUGCAAGUCGAACGGCAGCACGGGGGCAACCCUGGUGGCGAGUGGCGAACGGGUGAGUAAUACAUCGGAACGUGCCCAGUCGUGGGGGAUAACGUAGCGAAAGCUACGCUAAUACCGCAUACGAUCUACGGAUGAAAGCGGGGGAUCGCAAGACCUCGCGCGAUUGGAGCGGCCGAUGGCAGAUUAGGUAGUUGGUGGGGUAAAGGCUCACCAAGCCUUCGAUCUGUAGCUGGUCUGAGAGGACGACCAGCCACACUGGGACUGAGACACGGCCCAGACUCCUACGGGGGGCAGCAGUGGGGAAUUUUGGACAAUGGGCGAAAGCCUGAUCCAGCCAUUCCGCGUGCAGGAUGAAGGCCCUCGGGUUGUAAACUGCUUUUUGUACGGAACGAAACGGCCUUUUUCUAAUACAGAGGGCUAAUGACGGUACCGUAAGAAUAAGCACCGGCUAACUACGUGCCAGCAGCCGCGGUAAUGU
RNAcentral lists this ribosomal RNA (505 nucleotides) under uncultured bacterium. Its description in RNAcentral is "bacterial SSU rRNA". It matches the Rfam family "Bacterial small subunit ribosomal RNA", at positions 30 to 526 of the family's 1533-position model. The record is from RNAcentral.